RNAcentral lists this ribosomal RNA (521 nucleotides) under uncultured bacterium. RNAcentral's name for it is "bacterial SSU rRNA". It matches the Rfam family "Bacterial small subunit ribosomal RNA", at positions 8 to 518 of the family's 1533-position model. The record is from RNAcentral.
AGAGUUUGAUUAUGGCUCAGGAUGAACGCUAGCUACAGGCUUAACACAUGCAAGUCGAGGGGCAGCAUUAUCGAAGCUUGCUUGAUAGAUGGCGACCGGCGCACGGGUGAGUAACGCGUAUCCAACCUUCCCUAUAGUAGAGAAUAGCCCGGCGAAAGUCGGAUUAAUGCUCUAUGUUGUAUUUAGAAGACAUCUGAAGAAUACCAAAGGUUUACCGCUAUAGGAUGGGGAUGCGUCUGAUUAGGUAGUAGGCGGGGUAACGGCCCACCUAGCCGACGAUCAGUAGGGGUUCUGAGAGGAAGGUCCCCCACAUUGGAACUGAGACACGGUCCAAACUCCUACGGGAGGCAGCAGUGAGGAAUAUUGGUCAAUGGUCGGAAGACUGAACCAGCCAAGUAAGCGUGCAGGAUGACGGCCCUAUGGGUUGUAAACUGCUUUUAUAGGGGAACAAAGUGAGGUACGUGUACUUUUUUGCGUGUACCCUAUGAAUAAGGACCGGCUAAUUCCGUGCCAGCCGCGGC